Molecule: long non-coding RNA, 1182 nt
Organism: Magnolia sinica
Lineage: Eukaryota; Viridiplantae; Streptophyta; Magnoliopsida; Magnoliales; Magnoliaceae
Exons: 4
Source: RefSeq, a predicted model, not a curated record
AAUAUUAAAUAUUUAAUAAUCCUAAUGUAAUUAUUAAAUAUCGAGUCAGGUUGAGUCUUUGAGUCAACACGAACCUUCUUAACAUGGUGUUGAGUUUUCCAACCCUCAAUCCUGCGGUGAAUCAGUGGCUCCCAUGGCAGAUGACUAGUUUCAUCUUCACAACAUUCAUGUGAAUGCAUGUCUGUUUGGGUUGGCUGUGGAGCAGAGAACAUGCCCAAGAAUGCCUAGCCCCACUGAUUCAAUUGAAAAUGACAUAGUUUGCCUGUUGAUUCUUAAUACCUAUUAGAACUAAUUUCCCCCUAAUUUUAAUUAACAAAGCCCACUGUUAGUUGUUAAUACUUGUAAGUUGGCAUAAGUUGGCAACUUACAAGUAUUAAUUUCCUUUCCUAAUUUUGUUGUAUGAAUUACUUUGGAUUAAUUGGGAUUAUCUUGCAUUGUGAAAAUCUUAAUGAGAUACUUGCCUUGACCUGUAUUGUGAACUUGAUGAAUUCUUGAUUAUACUUGCCUGAAAGUCUUUUUUUUUUUUUUUUUUUAAAUUUUAAAGGUAAUGUCUUUCUGAAUGUCCAUCAUUGGGUGCAUGUUAUGUUCCCUAUAACUUCAUAAGACCAGAGCAUUGACAUGCAAGUUAUAUGGUAAGAGGAGACCCUUUAAAUGGUUCUGUGUACGUCUGUAACUUACCUCCUGGAACUGCUGAGAGUAUGCUGGCUGAUUUUUUUGGCACCAUAGGGUUGCUAAAGGUGAUGACUUGACUUGUAGCCGAUUCUACAGGAUAUUAAUCUUAAACCCAGAUGACUAGAGCAUGUGAAUCAACGUGCAUGGGUCUCACACUACAAGAAAAUGAAGCUUUACCGGCCCAUUUUUUACCGCAGGCACAUUUUUUAAAGAAAGCUCAGGGUCUUUGUCUUCUCUCUUCGAAAGGUUCUUUGAUGGGCAGUGUGGUGAAUGGGGCUCUGGAAUACCUUUCUAAGGAUCUUGCGAUUGCUGAGAACACCGUGCUACAAGGAAAGUGCAGCAAUGAUGCGUUUCUUUGAUCAUGAUGCAAAUCAGCAUUUAUUAUUCAUAUCAGUCCAAUUAAACUAAGUGUCAUGGCAUGCUACAAUUAACCUAUUUUAACCUUCUGACCUUACAAUUUCAUUCAAUCCACACUUGUUCACGCCUUGUAAGUUGUAACAGAGUUUCAUA